GAAUCCCGUCUUUGACAUGGACUGCCAGUGCCUAAUAGGUGCGCUCUCGAAGAGUCGAGUUGUUUGGGAAUGCAGCUCAAAGUGGGUGGUAAAUGCCAUCUAAAGCUAAAUAUUGGCGAGAGACCGAUAGCGAACAAGUACCGUGAGGGAAAGAUGAAAAGAACUUUGGAAAGAGAGUUAAACAGUACGUGAAAUUGCUGAAAGGGAAACGCUUGAAGUCAGUCGCGUCGGGUUGGAAAUCAACCUCGCUUUUGCUGGGUGUACUUUCCGUCCGAUGGGCCAGCAUCGGUUUCGGUCGCUGGACAAAGUUCUUUGGGAAAGUGGCAUCCUCGGAUGUGUUAUAGCCCUUGGGACAUAUGCAGCGGUCGGGAUCGAGGAACUCAGCACGCCCGCGAGGGCUGGGGCUUUUGUCCACAUGAACGUGCUUAGGAUGCUGGCAUAAUGGCUUUAAUCGACCCGUCUUGAAACACGGACCAAGGAGUCUAACAUGCCUGCGAGUGUUUGGGUGGAAAACCCAUGCGCGCAAUGAAAGUGAAGGUUGAGAUCCCUGUCGUGGGGAGCAUCGACGCCCAGACCAGACCUUCUGUGACGGAUCUGCGGUAGAGCACGCAUGUUGGGACCCGAAAGAUGGUGAACUAUGCCUGAAUAGGGUGAAGCCAGAGGAAACUCUGGUGGAGGCUCGUAGCGAUUCUGACGUGCAAAUCGAUCGUCAAAUUUGGGUAUAGGGGCGAAAGACUAAUCGAACCAUCUGGUAGCUGGUUCCUGCC
This 767-nucleotide ribosomal RNA is filed under the name uncultured Inocybe. RNAcentral describes it as "partial 28S ribosomal RNA". It matches the Rfam family "Eukaryotic large subunit ribosomal RNA", at positions 216 to 962 of the family's 3401-position model. The record is from RNAcentral. Lineage: Eukaryota; Fungi; Basidiomycota; Agaricomycetes; Agaricales; Cortinariaceae.